RNAcentral lists this transfer RNA (90 nucleotides) under Alphaproteobacteria bacterium. Its description in RNAcentral is "tRNA-Ser". It matches the Rfam family "tRNA". Rfam says of the family: Transfer RNA (tRNA) molecules are approximately 80 nucleotides in length. Their secondary structure includes four short double-helical elements and three loops (D, anti-codon, and T loops). Lineage: Bacteria; Pseudomonadati; Pseudomonadota; Alphaproteobacteria. The record is from RNAcentral. RNAcentral also lists the same sequence under 2 other names.
GGAUGGGUGGCCGAGCGGUCGAAGGCACCGGUCUUGAAAACCGGCAGGGGUUAACGCUCCUCGUGGGUUCGAAUCCCACCCCAUCCGCCA